This 389-nucleotide ribosomal RNA is filed under the name Prymnesiophyceae sp. RNAcentral's name for it is "partial small subunit ribosomal RNA". It matches the Rfam family "Eukaryotic small subunit ribosomal RNA", at positions 582 to 975 of the family's 1831-position model. The record is from RNAcentral. Lineage: Eukaryota; Haptophyta.
AUUCCAGCUCCAAUAGCGUAUAUUAAAGUUGUUGCAGUUAAAAAGCUCGUAGUCGGAUUUCGGGGCCUGCCGAGCGGUCUGCCGAUGGGUAUGCACUGUUCGGCGCGUCCUUCUUUCCGGAGACUAAUUCUACUCUUAACUGAGCGGAAUUGGGAGACGGAUCGUUUACUUUGAAAAAAUCAGAGUGUUUCAAGCAGGCAGCUCGCUCUUGCAUGGAUUAGCAUGGGAUAAUGAAAUAGGACUUUGGUGCUAUUUUGUUGGUUUCGAACACCGAAGUAAUGAUUAACAGGGACAGUCAGGGGCACUCGUAUUCCGCCGAGAGAGGUGAAAUUCUCAGACCAGCGGAAGACGAACCACUGCGAAAGCAUUUGCCAGGGAUGUUUUCAUUA